AACCGUUACGGGGGAAGCGUAUUGGGUCAAAUUGAUUUGGGGGAGUGCUGCUGUUCAACGGGGUGAUUCCCGUGUACUCAGUGCAUUUUCUUACCCGUCGUGUGCUUUGGAUGGUCGAUUUUGGGCUGUCUGGGGCUGAGGGAUCCCCUUUUAUAGGGUGAAGACGAUGGGGCGCUGACACGAUACGACCCGUCUUGAAACACGGACCAAGGAGUUCAGCAUGUGUGCGAGUCAAAGGGUGAUUAAACCUGGGGGCGCAGUGAAAGCAACUUUUGUGUAAGGGAAUCCAACAUUAAGCAGUUUCAGGCGGCAUACGAUCGUUGAUUGUAGGACUGACCUAGAGCACAUGUGCUGAGACCCGAAAGAUGGUGAACUAUGCCGGAGUAGGGCGAAGCCAGAGGAAACUCUGGUGGAGGCUCGUAGCGGUGCUGACGUGCAAAUCGCUCGUCUGACUCGGGUAUAGGGGCGAAAGACUAAUCGAACCAUCUAGUAGCUGGUUUCCUCCGAAGUUUCUCUCAGGAUAGCAGGCCGACGAAUAAGCAUGAAGUCUCAGUUGUUGUGUGCGGUAAAGCGAAUGAUUAGCGUAUUUGGGGGUGAUUAGCCUUCAGACGAUUCUCAAACUUUAAAUGCGCACGGAUGUUGCCGCUUGGGUGGGCGGUAUCAAUUAAAAAACGUCGGCCUUGUGGGCCACUUUUGGUAAGCAGAACUGGCGAUACGGGAUGAACCGUAAGUGUGGUUAAGGCGCCUAAUUGUUCGCUCACAGACCCCAAAAAAGGUGUUGAUUCAUAUAGACAGCAGGACGGUGGCCAUGGAAGUCGGAAUCCGCUAAGGAGUGUGUAACAACUCACCUGCCGAAUGAAUUAGCCCUGAAAAUGGAUGGCGCUUAAGCGAAGCAGCCGACACCACACCAUCUGAGUAAGGUGAACAUCAGAUGAGUAGGAGGACGUGGCGGUCGUAUCGAAGCGUAUGUGCGAACGUACGUGGAACGGCCGCUAGUGCAGAUCUUGGUGGUAGUAGCAAAUAUUCAAAUGAGAACCUUGAAGGGUGAAGUGGGGAAGGGUUCCACGCGAACAUUGAUUGAACGUGGGUAAGUCGUUCCUAAGCCAAGUGGCAAUGGCUAAAUUAUAUGGCGAAAGGGAAGCAGGUUGAUAUUCCUGCACACGGAUGUGGAUGCGGUGACGCACGUCUGAGGCGAUGACGUCGGCGAUGGAUCUGGGCAGAGUUUUCUUUUCUGUUUGACCGAACCAGGCGCGCUGUGUGGAAUCCGCUUGUCGGGAGAAACACGCGUGUUUGGGCAAAGCGCCGGGAGU
RNAcentral lists this ribosomal RNA (1310 nucleotides) under Cryptopleura ramosa. RNAcentral describes it as "LSU rRNA". It matches the Rfam family "Eukaryotic large subunit ribosomal RNA", at positions 403 to 1773 of the family's 3401-position model. The record is from RNAcentral. Lineage: Eukaryota; Rhodophyta; Florideophyceae; Ceramiales; Delesseriaceae.